CCUACGGGUGGCAGCAGUGAGGAAUAUUGGUCAAUGGACGAGAGUCUGAACCAGCCAAGUAGCGUGAAGGAUGACUGCCCUAUGGGUUGUAAACUUCUUUUAUAUGGGCAUAAAAUGUUACACGUGUGGGGUUUUGUAUGUACCCUAUGAAUAAGGAUCGGCUAACUCCGUGCCAGCAGCCGCGGUAAUACGGAGGAUCCGAGCGUUAUCCGGAUUUAUUGGGUUUAAAGGGUGCGUAGGUGGAUUGUUAAGUCAGUUGUGAAAGUUUGCGGCUCAACCGUUAAAGUGCAGUUGAAACUGGGAGUCUUGAGUACAGUAGAGGUAGGCGGAAUGCGUGGUGUAGCGGUGAAAUGCUUAGAUAUCACGAAGAACUCCGAUUGCGAAGGCAGCUCACUGGACUGCAACUGACGCUGAGGCACGAAAGUGUGGGUAUCAAACAGGAUUAGAUACCCGUGUAGUC
RNAcentral lists this ribosomal RNA (460 nucleotides) under uncultured bacterium. RNAcentral's name for it is "partial 16S ribosomal RNA". It matches the Rfam family "Bacterial small subunit ribosomal RNA", at positions 338 to 795 of the family's 1533-position model. The record is from RNAcentral.